UUCAAGACUUUUGAAUAACACCAAUAAUACCAGUGUUUCUGGUUAUCAUUUUACAAUAAUUGUUUCUUUGUUUUUAUGUUCUGUCAUCCGAUGUUAUUGUGUUGAAAAUCUUUCUUUGUGCCAUUUGUUCAAAAUAAAGUACGUUUUGAAACAAGAAAAAAAAAAAAGAUAAAGGCGAUGUUUUUGGAGACAGCUGGCCUGACAGAUUGUCCAGUUCAGCCAUUCAACUCAAUCUAAAAACCACCUGCUUAUACUUCUCAUUCCAAUUUCUAUACCUUGUAAUCACACGUGAACGUGUGGACAUGCUUUUAAUCAUUCAGUUUUCUAAUAGUUUGAUUUCUCUCAUAAUUUAUUUCGUCAGUGAUGUAAAAACGACUCGACAAGACCACGUGGUUUCCAGUGCCAAUUCCAGGAAGUGCAACGGCGCCCCCUGCAGGAUUCGUGGCAGAAAUGUUCUAGAAGCUACCAAAGAUGCAAGGAGUCCAGCAGCCUCCACGAUCGAAAAGCCCCUCCUUCUAAUCACAAUGGAUGACAUCCCAAAGCUAAAAUAUUUUUCAUGAAGAUUUUCUCCAUUUACCUUGGUCCUCCAACGCGUGUCGAGGGCUCCGGAAUUGGACGUGUCCUAGUCGCUCCAGUGCGCUGCUACUUCGUCUGGUAAAGUAUCUGUCUGCACCUACUGUCUGUGCGGCUUUUGUAGUCUCUCAGAGCGUUCGAGAAAAUCCUAACUGAGAGCUUCCAGAACCGUCUGGAAUUCUCUGAGGUGCUUACAGUUGAUUGGUCGGCUGAAAUGCCAAUCAAUGCAUAUACCCGCCCGUCUUUCCAUUUCUGGCAGAAGGGGGCGGUGUUGAAGCGGAGCAGAGGUUUGUUCAGGGAAGAAGGCACGUGUGAGCAAAAACGAGAACUUGCCAUGCCGGGUUCACUGAAGAUUCCAGAACGUUCAAUUAAAAAAAAAAAGAGGGUAUCGAUGGAGAAAAUGAAACCUUCUUUCUUACAUUAUAAUCUGUGUGGCUGUAAAACCAAUUUUGCUUGUGUAAAACGCAGGGGGGCUAAUUAAAUCACUUAUGCAAUUGCCAUAUAAUAAAAAGCAGCCGGUUUGAUUUACAUAUUCAUUUUAUUAUAAAUUUUAAAGCUUUACAUAUAAAAUGUAACGGUUACAAAAAGAGGAAUAAGUCGAUACCUCUUGACUCUACUCUUAUGUUCUCAAAAGGUCUAAAUAAAUAUAUUAGAAUGAGGAUUAAAAGACAUUAUGGUCUGUAUUACUAAAAACAAACUUGUCAAGUUGACACUUUUCAGAAAUAAAGUUGAGGUAAAGAAAAAGUCAUUUUAAAAAG
Molecule: non-coding RNA, 1331 nt
Organism: Poecilia reticulata (guppy)
Lineage: Eukaryota; Metazoa; Chordata; Actinopteri; Cyprinodontiformes; Poeciliidae
Source: RefSeq, a predicted model, not a curated record